GACGAACGCUGGCGGCGUGCUUAACACAUGCAAGUCGAACGCUGAAGCACCAGCUUGCUGGUGUGGAUGAGUGGCGAACGGGUGAGUAAUACGUGAGUAACCUGCCCUUGACUCUGGGAUAAGCCCGGGAGACUGGGUCUAAUACUGGAUGCUACAUGUCACCGCAUGGUGGUGGGUGGAAAGGGUUUACUGGUCUUGGAUGGGCUCACGGCCGAUCAGCUUGUUGGUGAGGUAAUGGCUCACCAAGGCGACGACGGGUAGCCGGCCUGAGAGGGUGACCGGCCACACUGGGACUGAGACACGGCCCAGACUCCUACGGGAGGCAGCAGUGGGGAAUAUUGCACAAUGGGCGAAAGCCUGAUGCAGCGACGCCGCGUGAGGGAUGACGGCCUUCGGGUUGUAAACCUCUUUCAGCAGGGAAGAAGCCACAAGUGACGGUACCUGCAGAAGAAGCGCCGGCUAACUACGUGCCAGCCGCCGCAGUAA
RNAcentral lists this ribosomal RNA (486 nucleotides) under uncultured bacterium. RNAcentral's name for it is "partial 16S ribosomal RNA". It matches the Rfam family "Bacterial small subunit ribosomal RNA", at positions 28 to 523 of the family's 1533-position model. The record is from RNAcentral.